Molecule: transfer RNA, 65 nt
Filed under: Ochthebius peisonis
Lineage: Eukaryota; Metazoa; Arthropoda; Insecta; Coleoptera; Hydraenidae
Description: tRNA-Pro
Source: RNAcentral
CAGAAGAUAGUUUAAUUAAAAUAUUAAUUUUGGAGAUUAAUGAUAGGAAGUAUUUCUUCUUCUGA